AAGUCUAGUCAUAUUUGACUCCAAAACACUAACCAAACUUCUUCUUGAUUCUCAAAGCUUUGAUGGUGUAGUCAAAGUCCGUAGGAGUCUUUGGCUUUGUAUCUUCUAACAAGGAAACACUACUUAGGCUUUUAAGAGCCGGUUGCGGUUCUAGAUCUUAUACUCAAUCAUACAACUGACAUCUAGUUAUAUUUGACUCCAAAAUACUAACCAAGCUUCUUCUUGCUUCUCAAAGCUUUGAUGGUGAAGCCGUUGGCUUUGUAUCUUCUAACAAGGAAACAAUACUUAGGCUUUCAAGAUCUGGUUGCGGUUCUAGUUCUUAUA
This 324-nucleotide small RNA is filed under the name Arabidopsis thaliana (thale cress). RNAcentral's name for it is "ATSL089700". Lineage: Eukaryota; Viridiplantae; Streptophyta; Magnoliopsida; Brassicales; Brassicaceae. The record is from RNAcentral.